GAAGGUAGUGCCAAUAAUAAGAACGCUUCGGAUUGAUAGGGAUGCAACUAGUAGCUGAAAACACAAAGAGUUCUCCUUGUAUUUUUCACAGUUCUCCUAUUGAAGUAGUGCUUGUAUUUUUCGAAGUUCUCCUUGUAUUUUCAGGUAGUUGCAUCCCUAUCAAUCCGAAGCUUUCCGUUUUAGGGUAAUUUUCU
Molecule: non-coding RNA, 194 nt
Organism: Paramuricea clavata
Lineage: Eukaryota; Metazoa; Cnidaria; Anthozoa; Malacalcyonacea; Plexauridae
Source: the annotation of a GenBank genome assembly